AGAGCGAACGCUGGCGGCAGGCCUAACACAUGCAAGUCGAGCGCCCCGCAAGGGGAGCGGCAGACGGGUGAGUAACGCGUGGGAACAUACCCUCCGGUUCGGAAUAGCUCAGGGAAACUUGGAUUAAUACCGGAUACGGCCUAGCGGCGAAAGAUUCAUCGCCGGAGGAUUGGCCCGCGUUCGAUUAGCUAGUUGGUGAGGUAACGGCUCACCAAGGCGACGAUCGAUAGCUGGUCUGAGAGGAUGAUCAGCCACAUUGGGACUGAGACACGGCCCAAACUCCUACGGGAGGCAGCAGUGGGGAAUAUUGGACAAUGGGCGCAAGCCUGAUCCAGCCAUGCCGCGUGAGUGAUGACGGCCUUAGGGUUGUAAAGCUCUUUCGCUAGGGACGAUAAUGACGGUACCUAGACAAGAAGCCCGGCUAACUUCGCGCCAGCAGCCGC
This 443-nucleotide ribosomal RNA is filed under the name uncultured bacterium. RNAcentral describes it as "SSU rRNA". It matches the Rfam family "Bacterial small subunit ribosomal RNA", at positions 26 to 518 of the family's 1533-position model. The record is from RNAcentral.